CUUGACACUCUCUACUCUUUGUAACCGGAGCCACAUUUCCGCUCUGGGCCCCUCGCUUCCGCUGCGCGGUGAAGGGAAUUCGACAGUGUCUCCCUGUCACAAACCCGACUCCUGUAACGGGACCGCGUUGAGCAUGCUGUUGGCAAACAAGGGACGACGCGGCAAGCAGCUGUAACAUUAAAAGAUCAGACACAAGUGAACUGCAAAGCCUACACAAUCAAUCAAUGCAUUUUUGAAAUAUCACAUGUUUAUUUAACCUAUAUACUAGAUGUAUACUAUUAUGAAAAUAUAUGCAUCAAUUCGUCAACAUUCAUAGUAACAUUACAUGUUUCUUAUUAGCGUCUAACUGUGUUUGUUUUUUGUCUAAUAAAGACCAAAUAAUUUC
This is a long non-coding RNA of Perca flavescens (yellow perch), 385 nucleotides long. RefSeq lists it as uncharacterized. NCBI's taxonomy places the organism in Eukaryota, Metazoa, Chordata, Actinopteri, Perciformes, Percidae. The transcript has 3 exons. The record is from RefSeq and is a predicted model, not a curated record.